Pezoporus flaviventris is the source of this 5811-nucleotide long non-coding RNA. RefSeq lists it as uncharacterized. The transcript has 2 exons. The record is from RefSeq and is a predicted model, not a curated record. NCBI's taxonomy places the organism in Eukaryota, Metazoa, Chordata, Aves, Psittaciformes, Psittacidae.
GCGGCUGGGCUCUGCGGACAAAGCACGCAGCGGGAGGGCUGGGUGGUGGGGAAGUGCGGCCGGACGCUUACCGGCCUCCCCCGGAGCUCCCCGGCCAGGGCUAGAGGGGAGCCCCCAGCCCCUGCUCCUCCCCUUUGGCGGCCGCCGCUCGGACGCCCGGCUGCGAGACCCAGAGGCGCCUCUAUCGGCCAGGCUGACGGGAGGGCAGCGAAAAACGGGUCCGCUCCAGCCGGCGACACGGAGAGGAUGAAUGACUGGGGGGCGGCAGGUGCCACCAGCCCUACCCCCGCCUCACUGACCGCUGCCAUUUGUGGUAAGCAGCUGGAAUAUGCCUUCUGGAAACUGGCUGAAAGACGUGGCAGCAAUGGCUGCAGAACUGCCAUCAAAAUAUAUUUUACAUGAAUACAGAAACUCUCCACUGAGAGCACAGCAAACAUGGACAAAGGAGACAAAAAUCUCAAACAAUCUUCAGCCUGGAGCUUUAUAGUCCAGUUCCUGUGUUUAAAAGCAGAAAUAUCCUAUUACUUUGUUGGAAACAUGAGGUUUAACACAAGGCCACUGAGGAAUGAAAGCCUGAUGCUCUCCUUCUAAGGGGCAUUUUUAUAUGCGGUAAUUAAAAAUUUCAGUGGGGUUCCACCUGAAAUAUUCCAGGAGAAUAUGGCGUAGGAGGACAUGGCUUACAAGAGCAGACCAUAUAGAUUACUGUUUGCUAAAUGAUGGUGUCACCUAAGCUUGAGAACUCCAGGAAAUCCAGUGUGUCAGUGACUCUCCUUUCUGAUCAGCUCUGGUGUGACACUGUGUGUGUGCACCUUGGCUUUUAUAAAGUUGUAGAUCUUCAGGAUUGAAGGCCUCUGGAAGAACCAUGUUUGGUAAGCUGCUUGUCAAGCGACUACUAGUUUACCAGAGCAUACUUUUUAAAUUUUAUUUGGCUGAAAUUAAGAGCACUGAAAGUUAUUAUUGCUGCAAACAGGACUAUAAAAGCCAAAGAAAAGCCAAGGGAAAAUACACAAGACUGAGGUUCUCAAAGAGAAAAGGGCAGAGGGCUGAGCCAAGUAACUACCACCAUAAUCUGUCUCUAUUGAGUGGCUGCAGUUUUGACCAGCAAACAAUGAGAGCAGCCAGAGGUACCUGGAGAUCCUGGGACAAAAUACAAGUUUUCAGGUGUUGCCAUCUGUGCGUCUUUCCUGAGGGGGCAGGGAGAAGCUUCCCCAGCUGACCCUGUGCCUCCUCUUGAUACUCAGUAAUAGCACCCAUGCAAACCCUUUAGUCUGAGGAGGCAAAGCUCCAAUGAGCAAGGUAAGUCUUCAGCAGGGCUUGUCCUGAGAGUUUUUUUAGUGUUUGGUGUCUUUCAAAAGGAGCACUAGGAGAGCAUCUUACUGCUGACUGAGAGCGUUAGAAGUAAAUCUGAAGUGAGCUAGUGAUGAUACAAAGGCCUAUAACCUAAAUGGAUGUAAUAUAAAUAUGGGCUGGAAGGGUGCAGAUGCUAACUGUAACGCAGAUGGUGACAUUUAUUGACUGACAUUUAUUGACACUAUUAUCAUUAGAAAUCUUUUAGCACCUUGGCACUUCAGUACCUACAUGGGAAACAGGCAGACCAAACAAAUCAUACCGUAGGACUAAAAAUAAAAGUUCCACCAACUCAAGUGGUGUGAUGCAAAAAUAGUCCAGAGAGAACUUGAAAGCCUGGUCGAGCUGAUAGGUUACACUGAGCCAAGGCUGGGGCUCUGAGCAGGUGCCAAAGGGAACAAGUUGCUGAAACCCUCCCCUGAGCAUGCCCUGAGGAUUAGUGAGUGCAACCCCCACACCCAAAAAAUAGCAAGGGUGACCCAACACAUGGUAACACUUGCUGUGUGCCACGGAGAGACAGAGAUUUCACUUGUGAAUGGGGACUGUUCCAGUUUUAUAGUCUUAUCAAAUGUCCCCAGUGUGCUGACUGCUUGUAUAACUGUAAGAAUCCGCUUGUGAACCUCACCAACUAACCAAUCCCAUCAAAGUCAGUCAUCUUCCUUUUUAUCUGAGCAAAGUGUGGAAAUGUUAUCUUGAAUAUGCUGAUGGGAGAGUUGUACAUUUUGUUGCUCCAGCUCAAUGCGUUGACCAAGAGCCUCCAGCAUCUCUGUGUUCUCCUCCACUCUCUCAUCCUGUGCGCUGCCCUUCCAUCCUCCAUACUUAGAAUCAUCUUGAAAACUGUUUUCUACUGCCAAGGACUUUGGAAUAAAGAGGAGGAAAGGCUAUUCACACCAGCAGAAGGAUGCUACUUCACUCUGUUAAUGGCUGCAUGUUUAACAAUAAAAGAGGCAUAGGUCUGUAGCAAACUGAUAGGAUUGGAAAAGAUGAAUAGGAAAGGACUCUACAGAAUAUGUCCAAGGGUCACUAUGUGUAGCUUCCAACCCAAUGGGCCUGUAUCCCAGAGAAGAGGAUUUUCUUCCAUUAACCUAGUUUAGUGAGUGAGUUUUCCAUGUGGCAAUGGAUGAGUGUCAUUAGCAUUCACUCAGAGUGAGAGAAUGGCUUUGACUGUUGUUCUGCUUAUUUGACUUCUCACACUAAACUUUAUCCAUCAUGAUGAAUGCUUGGCCCACUUUGAUUCUUGAAGGCACAACACAAAGCCUGCUGAGGAGCAGAGCCUGGGCGAAGUCCAGUCCCUACUAUUGCAGUCAACUCAUAAAAUCACUUUAACCCACUCAUUACACUGCCCUCUAAAAACAACUGGGUUAUUUGCCACACUAUUUCUUAUCAGCACUGGAGAUUUUUAUGGCUAGAAGAAUCAAAUAUCUUUUUUUUUUUGAUUUCCAGCAUAAAUUUAUUCUGGACUUGUUUAUAUCCAUUUGUUCUUGUGCUGCCAUUGUCCUUAAGCUUAAAUAGCUUCUUGCCUGUCUAUCUGUGAUAUUUACUCACUGAUGUAUUUACAGACAGCUCUCCUGCACGCUUUCUCAGGCUUUGUUUCAUCAGGGCAAACAUGAUAAGCUCCAAUAAGAUCACUGUCAGUCUUCUAAUGACUCUGUUUCAGUGCGAUUUAAUUUUUCUGGAACAUGAGUGUUCAAGUCUCUGUGCUAUACUCCAAUGAGGUUUUACUAAUGACUCUUUUAACACCCUGUCUUACCUUUACUCUGCCCAAAAUUUUUCAUCAGAUACAGCCUAUAAUCCAAUUUGCCCUUUUUAGGGAUGGUCAUGUCUGUUGCUUGUAACCAGAGCUCUUUGCAGCAGUUUUAAAAAGAGCUCACUGUUUAGGAGAUGUGACAGAUUCAUCAGCUUCCUUCCAGGGAGCCGUGACAACUUGGACCAGCUGGGGAUCUGCAUCUGAGCUUCCAGUUUGCAGGACACAGCUUUCCCUGCGGCUGGCCCAGAACGGUGGAGCUCACUGCCAACUCCCCUCCCCCAGACCUUCCCCAGGGGAGCCGCUGAUUUGCUUCCGCCUGGCCGGCAAUGUUAAAACGGCACUUACUCUAUGUCAUGCUAACAAAAUACAGGGCAAAAAUUGGCAAAUACCUUUCAUUCAAUAUGUACAUGUUAAAUCUGAACUUCUCAGUUCCUUUUUUUUGUUGGUGUUUAAAUUCAAAGUGUUUUCAAUCAUUUUAGCCAUUUUGAUUUCUAGGAAAUUUUUCUUUCCUUAAUCUCUUUCUUAAUCCUCAUUAAGUGUGACUAAAACUUUCAAAAUGACAAUUAAAAUAGAUUUCUUUCCAUGGAGGGAGCCUAUGUGUGACCGUGCUGCUGCCUAUUGUCCUUCUUCAUUUCUUCCUUUCUCAUAUCUGCUCUUCAUGUUCUGUCAGCUGUGAUUUAGACUAAGCCCUUCGUGGCAAGGACUUUUUGUUUCAUAUUCAUCUUUGCCUAAAGCAGAGACAUUUAUUAUUGGUUUCUGAAAUUAUAAAGAAUGUUACGGAUCAAUGCCAUUAUCCUGAACUGCACUUAGAAGACUAAAGCAGCGUAGCUGUUGAAUUGAUGCUCUCGGGAGCAUAGAAGCAGAGCUACAUUUUGGUCAAUCUCUUGCCAGAGCACUCUGUGGCUAUUAUUUCCAUCCAAAAAUCAUAGCCAGGGUAAAAGCUACAAAAGCACUGAUGACUGUGAUAAAGCUUCUAACACACAGAAUUGUCUUAGCUGCCCUGUCAAAUGAUGGCAACAAAAUGUUUAACUGUAAAGAGAGCAACAGCUAAGAAUCUGGCAUCAGCCUGGACACUGACCACGAUCAGAGCAUGGUGUCAAUAGGCGUCAUUGGUUUAAAACAAAGAUGCGGUGACAGUAUUUCUGCUUCUGAAUAGAUCCUAAAGGCAUUUGCCCAGGAAGUAGUAGAUAGAGCAAGUGGGCCAGAGACUUGAGAGAUUUGAAAUCCAUGUCCAGGGGAAAUAAAUUAGGGAGUUGAGCUCUGGGGCAUCUCUCUCCCAGCUAAAAGCAUUGUCCAUGCUCAGCAUCCCUGUUUUCCCUCAGACCCUGCAACCCCCGUGAAAGAGGUUUCUGAGCACCUUUUCCUUUGCUUUCUGUUUUAGGACUGGCUUGGACAUUUCUGCAUGGAAAACGCUGCAAACCCUGUUUGAGAGGUCCAGGUCACCCAUCACACUGCCUCAGAGCAUCACACUGCUGUUGCUCUUUGUCAAGCGUCUGCUCUCAGGGUCCCACAUCUGUAAUUCUGCAUUGGCACUUUAGCUGGGCUCUGCAUUAUACUCAUUUAAUUAUGCAUGAUUGACAGGCUUCUCGGGACUAGAAAUUCUGCAUCUGCCUAUGAAAGUACUUUGCAACUUGGAAGAUAAUGAAAUAAUUGGUUCUGAGUUGGUUCUUCUCCAUUGUCACCCACGUCAGUACACUGCAGCUCAUAGAUCUGCCUUCCCGAGUUCACCACCAGCAUCUUUGGCAUGUAGAUUUUAAUUGACACCUUCAGAUGACAAGAUGACAGGUAGUCAAUCAUCAGCAAAGAGAACUGGUGAUAUUGAACUUGUGAUAGCUGGUUUCAGUAACUGCAAAAGACUAUCUCCACUACAAGCCUCCGGAUACUUUUGAAAAGCAGGUUUAACCAGACAUGGAAACGUAUCUCUGAGUUUAGUACAGAAGCAUUGCUUUGUUGGGGUGAGGUUUUUAUUCCAAAGGGCUGGCAACCUCCCUAGGAUGAAACUACAGAGGUAAUUCUGUGUAGCCCAGGAAUCCCAGCACAGCGAUUGAUCCAGUGUGACCCCUACAUACCUAAUCACAGACUGUCAAGGCAAUUUCUGUUCAAGCUGGACCGAUAUUUAAUUAGUCUCCUCCCCACAAAAUCCUGACCUUGGUUUGGCACAGGGAAAACAGAGUUGCAUAUCUGGCCAAAGCAUCCCAUUGCAGCUCCGGGGGUAGGCAGAGGAGGUAUAAACAGCUGGAGAUGAAAAAUGGCAGAUGAGAGUCCAAACUGAAGCAGCAGCUCUCUCCACCUAUUUUCUACCUCUCUUGCUCUCCCUCCUCUAAAACCUGUUGCUCAGGCUAAAAGACUAAAUAAACCCUGUAGAAGUACAAUUGCCUUUUGGAGACUUUCAGUUAAUCUAUAGUGCAGAUCAGAGAAAGUAGCUCUACCAGGAACUUUCUGGUCAAAUUGAAAACUGGCAAAUUAUUCCUGCUGCUUUGUCUUUCAACCACUUGCUAAUCUGUGGCAGGAAUUUUUCUUCUACCCCUCAUGCCUACCUGGUUUCCUUAGUAACUUCUUACAGGAACAUGACAAAAGCUGGGAAAAGGCCCAAUAAACUGUCAACUGCUUAAUCUUCAUUUACGGAAAAUGAUGUGCUGUUAAAUCUCCACCAAAGGUGGCUGAUGUAUUUCAUUGACUAUUUCUUUCUGUCUUGUUCAAGAAAGGGCCUAGAUAUU